Molecule: ribosomal RNA, 386 nt
Filed under: Goniurosaurus huuliensis
Lineage: Eukaryota; Metazoa; Chordata; Lepidosauria; Squamata; Eublepharidae
Description: partial 12S rRNA
Rfam family: Bacterial small subunit ribosomal RNA
Source: RNAcentral
GCUUAGCCAUUAACCCUAAUAUAUUUCCACACAAAUAUAUUCGCCAGAGAAUUACUAGUGAAAAACUUAAAACUCUAAGGACUUGACGGUACCCCAUAUCAACCUAGAGGAGCCUGUCCUAUAAUCGACACCCCACGCUAUACCUUACCCCCUCUCGCAAUCAGCCUAUAUACCGCCGUCGUCAGCCCACCUCAUGAGAGAUCAAAAGUGGACAAAAUUGUCAACCACAAAAACGUCAGGUCAAGGUGUAGCUAAUGAGGCGGAAAAAGAUGGGCUACAUUCUCCAAAACAGAGGACACGCACGAUAUAAUGAAACUUAUAUCUUAAGGCGGAUUUAGAAGUAAAUAAAGAAAGAAAACCUAAUUGAACCCUGCUCUGGGGUGCGU